CGGCGUGCCUAAUACAUGCAAGUCGAACGGUCUUUCUAUGGAAGCUUGCUUCCACUGAGAAGAUAGUGGCGAACGGGUGAGUAACACGUGGGUAACCUGCCCAUAAGAGGGGGAUAACAUCCGGAAACGGGUGCUAAUACCGCAUAGUUUUCUUGAUCGCAUGAUUGGGAAAGGAAAGACGGCCUUUGUGCUGUCGCUUAUGGAUGGACCCGCGGCGUAUUAGUUAGUUGGUGAGGUAACGGCUCACCAAGACGAUGAUACGUAGCCGACCUGAGAGGGUGAUCGGCCACAUUGGGACUGAGACACGGCCCAAACUCCUACGGGAGGCAGCAGUAGGGAAUCUUCCGCAAUGGACGAAAGUCUGACGGAGCAACGCCGCGUGAGUGAAAGAAGGUUUUCGGAUCGUAAAACUCUGUUGUCAGAGAAGAACAAGUUGGAGAGUAACUGCUCCAGCCUUGACGGUAUCUGACCAGAAAGCCACGGCUAACUACGUGCCAGCCGCCGC
Molecule: ribosomal RNA, 505 nt
Filed under: uncultured bacterium
Lineage: Bacteria
Description: bacterial SSU rRNA
Rfam family: Bacterial small subunit ribosomal RNA
Source: RNAcentral